AGCCUUCUGAAUCGGUGCCGAGAUUUCGUUAGACACCAGGUCAUCAGUACUUAUGAGACCCUCAAGAUAAGUGAAGCG
Molecule: non-coding RNA, 78 nt
Organism: Schistosoma mansoni
Lineage: Eukaryota; Metazoa; Platyhelminthes; Trematoda; Strigeidida; Schistosomatidae
Source: Rfam